Transfer RNA from Auxenochlorella protothecoides, 89 nucleotides. It matches the Rfam family "tRNA". From Rfam's summary of the family: Transfer RNA (tRNA) molecules are approximately 80 nucleotides in length. NCBI's taxonomy places the organism in Eukaryota, Viridiplantae, Chlorophyta, Trebouxiophyceae, Chlorellales, Chlorellaceae. The record is from Rfam.
GGAAGAAUGGCUGAGUGGCUUAAGGCACUGGUUUGCUAAAUCAGCGUAUGUUUUAUGAUGUACCAUGGGUUCAAAUCCCAUUUCUUCCG